This 1011-nucleotide ribosomal RNA is filed under the name Mucor lusitanicus. RNAcentral's name for it is "LSU rRNA". It matches the Rfam family "Eukaryotic large subunit ribosomal RNA", at positions 37 to 959 of the family's 3401-position model. Lineage: Eukaryota; Fungi; Mucoromycota; Mucoromycetes; Mucorales; Mucoraceae. The record is from RNAcentral.
AGCAUAUCAAUAAGCGGAGGAAAAGAAAAUAACAAUGAUUUCCCUAGUAACGGCGAGUGAAGAGGAAAGAGCUCAAAGUUGGAAACUGUUUGGCUUAGCUAAACCGUAUUGUAAACUGUAGAAACAUUUUCCUGGCACACCAGAUUAAUAAGUCCUUUGGAACAAGGCAUCAUGGAGGGUGAGAAUCCCGUCUUUGAUCUGAGUAGUUGUCUUUUGUGAUAUGUUUUCAAAGAGUCAGGUUGUUUGGGAAUGCAGCCUAAAUUGGGUGGUAAAUCUCACCUAAAGCUAAAUAUUUGCGAGAGACCGAUAGCGAACAAGUACCGUGAGGGAAAGAUGAAAAGAACUUUGAAAAGAGAGUUAAACAGUAUGUGAAAUUGUUAAAAGGGAACCGUUUGGAGCCAGACUGGUUUGCCUGUAAUCAACCUAGAAUUCGUUUUGGGUGCACUUGCAGGCUAUACCUGCCAACAACAGUUUGAUUUGGAGGAAAAAAUUAGUAGGAAUGUAGCCUCUCGAGGUGUUAUAGCCUAUUAUCAUACUCUGGAUUGGACUGAGGAACGCAGCGAAUGCCUUUAGGCAAGAUUGCUGGGUGCUUUCGCUAAUAAAUGUUAGAAUUUCUGCUUCGGGUGGUGCUAAUGUUUAAAGGAGGAACACAUCUAGUAUAUUUUUUAUUCGCUUAGGUUGUUGGCUUAAUGACUCUAAAUGACCCGUCUUGAAACACGGACCAAGGAGUCCACCAUAAGUGCAAGUAUUUGAGUGACAAACUCAUAUGCGUAAGGAAACUGAUUGAUACGAAGUCUUUUGAUGGCAGUAUCACCCGGCGUCGACGUUUUAACUGAAAUGACCGAGGUAAAGCACUUAUGAUGGGACCCGAAAGAUGGUGAACUAUGCCUGAAUAGGGUGAAGCCAGAGGAAACUCUGGUGGAGGCUCGUAGCGAUUCUGACGUGCAAAUCGAUCGUCAAAUUUGGGUAUAGGGGCGAAAGACUAAUCGAACCAUCUAGUAGCUGGUUCCU